This is a long non-coding RNA of Scatophagus argus, 2412 nucleotides long. RefSeq lists it as uncharacterized. The transcript has 2 exons. The record is from RefSeq and is a predicted model, not a curated record. Lineage: Eukaryota; Metazoa; Chordata; Actinopteri; Scatophagidae.
GACAAUGACGACAGCUGCUCCGCACUGUCAACAGGAAGAAGACGCACAAGAGUGAAAACAGUUAUCAUAAAGUCUAAUUUCUCCUGUUACACCAUCCACAGAACUAACGCAACACUACAACCGCUUUAAGAACCAUUUUCAAUACAGAAACAGGUCAGUCAGGCCGCAUUUCUGUAGCGCACACACGGUAGCUUUAACCACUGUUGGAACACAGAAACAUACGUCAUAUGCGUAACUACGUCAGCCAUGUUGAUUCAGCUUUCAGGCAAAGCAAUUACGCUAACAGAGGUGAGCGCCUCAACGGCAACAACGAAACUUAGCUAUAACGGUUUGUGUGACAUGAGGUGUCAUGUCACACAAACCGUUAUAACCUCACUGGCUCUACAUAACACACAGUUCAUCUCUACUGCAACGAACUCAGUGCUAACCAGCUAGCUUUAGCCGAGCAGGUUUCUCUCUCUGGGAAAACCGAAAGCUGCACUCAAAUUUCGCUUCUUGGAAAUCUUAAGUGUCAGAUUCCGACUCAGACAGGACUCAGACGCGGAGCAGGUAUGAAUAAACGCAGACUCUAAUAAUAUCAACCUGGACUUCCCUAAGGCAGAGUGAAAUUAACACAAAGGCUAUGAAAUUACUCCCAAAGAGUGUCUCCUUUAUUAAGAGACACUCCGAAACAUGAAACAUUAAUUAUCUCAAGGGAGAUAAAAACAAAAGGCUAUGAAAAUUACUAAACAAAAGAGCUACUACUCUAAAGAACUAGAAAUCACUCCAAAAGGAGGCAAAAAUAAGACUAGGGAAAAUAACAAAAGAACAUCUAAUCUAAUAAUCUAACUGUGAAAAUAUAUGAUCUAAAGGUAACCAAAAAUCAUUCCUACGGAGGAAAAAGAAACAAAAGACUACUUAGAAAUCCUAAACAAAGGCAAACCUACACUAUGAAAGUUACAGCGAAAAAUCACUCUGACAGAGGAAAAAAAAACAGGAACAGAAAUUGAGGCAAGGACAAGACUGUGGCAAAGGCUGGAGUGAUCGCACGAAGACAACACACUGGCACGAGACUACAUAAGAUAGCCUGCGUUACAUUACUAAUUCUAUAAUUAAUUAUUUAGACUAAUACCAGUACAAUUUUCAGGAGAAUACUACACAAUAUUAUAUAUCUGCACUGCAGACUUCAGACACAACAUGGACGGCUGCAUCCUGCAGAAGUUCUCUGAUGACUGAUGUGGAGUACAGGGGACUGACCGGGACUUUGUGGACUGGUGUCAGCAGAAUCACCUCCUCGUCAACGCAGGGAAGACCAAGGAGAUGGUGGUGGACUUCUGCAGACGCCAGCCUACUACCACCCCUGUGUCGGGGGACAUUCAGGGAGCGGACAUUGAGCAAGUGGACUCUUACAAGUACCUGGAUGUUCACCUAAAUCACAAACUGGACUGGAGCAUCACAGAGAGGGAGAGGAAGAAGCUGGACAAGAUCAUCAAUUAGUCCAGCUCGGUCCUGGGCUGUCCUCUGGACUCAGUACAGGAGGCGGGGGACAACAGGGUCCUGGCUAAACUAACAUCUAUGCUGGACCAUGAGUCUCACCCCCUGCAGGACACACUGUCUGCUCUGGAGAGCAGCUUCAGAGACUGAUUCACCCUCGCUGUGUGAUGGAGAGAUUCCACAGCUCUUUCCUUCCUGCUGCUGUCGGGCUCUACAGUGAGCAUUGUUAGCUCUGUCAUCCAUCUGCAGUCACCAUGUGCAAUAAUUACUGUUAGUCACUAAUUGUACAUAGGAACUUUUUAUAUAUGCAGAGCUUUGUAGUUGAGCUCUAGAUAGGUAGAUGCUAUUUUAUGUUAAUUUUUAUAUUUCUAAUCAUUUUUAUUCUUAUUAUCUUAAAUAUUUUUGAUCCUGUAACUCUUAUUCCAGUGCUGUUUUUGUACCCUGCUGUUGUAACACUACAGUUUCCCUUUUGUGGGACAAAUAAGGGUUUUCUUAUCUCAGUACAUACAUGCAGCUCAGGAGGGGAGAGAUUGUAUCAAGGUGCUUCAAACGUCUGAGCAGUGUGGUGUGUUGCUGGUCUGGCUCUGGCGCACGACAGGCCACACCUUGACGCUACACACUGAUCUAAUGAUUCUUGCUAAAAGGAAAAACAUAGAAGUGUAGCCAACAUCCGUCAGGAAAAACCAAAUCAACCUCCCCCUCACCAAGGUCCUGAUGAACUGACCAUGAGAAGAGCAGGGCACGUUGCACAUGUAAAUAGAUGUUUUCAGAGCUGUUACAGUGGCAUUCGUUCUAACUGUUCAGUGAGCGUUUGCACAGUGGAAGCGACUGGAACACUGACUCAGUCCCACAUUUGCUAUAUAUACAUGCUAAUAUUGUGUCUGUUUUUAUGAUUAAUGAUGUAAGGGCGCCUAUGAAUAAAAUGCAGUAUUAUUUUUA